This 300-nucleotide unclassified non-coding RNA is filed under the name plant metagenome. RNAcentral's name for it is "partial contains small subunit ribosomal RNA, internal transcribed spacer 1, and 5.8S ribosomal RNA". The record is from RNAcentral.
UUUCCGUAGGUGAACCUGCGGAAGGAUCAUUAUUGAAUAAACCUGAUGUGGCUGUUAGCUGGCUUUUCGAAGCAUGUGCUCGUCCGUCAUCUUUACCUCUCCACCUGUGCACAUUUUGUAGUCUUGGAUACCUCUCGAGGCAACUCGGAUUUUAGGAUCGCUGUGCUGUACAAGCCGGCUUUCCUUUCAUUUCCAAGACUAUGUUUUUAUAUACACCAAAGUAUGUUUAAAGAAUGUCAUCAAUAGGAACUUGUUUCCUAUAUAAUUAUACAACUUUCAGCAACGGAUCUCUUGGCUCUC